This 997-nucleotide ribosomal RNA is filed under the name Termitomyces sp. symbiont of Allodontotermes sp. TN-2009. RNAcentral describes it as "eukaryotic LSU rRNA". The stretch from base 469 to 997 matches the Rfam family "Eukaryotic large subunit ribosomal RNA", at positions 1 to 525 of the family's 3401-position model. Lineage: Eukaryota; Fungi; Basidiomycota; Agaricomycetes; Agaricales; Lyophyllaceae. The record is from RNAcentral.
CCUUACAUUUCCGGUCUAUGCCUUUACAUAUACCCCGUAAUGAAUGUAUUAGAAUGUUUUGUUAUUGGCCUCAGUGCCUUUAAUCAAAUACAACUUUCAGCAACGGAUCUCUUGGCUCUCGCAUCGAUGAAGAACGCAGCGAAAUGCGAUAAGUAAUGUGAAUUGCAGAAUUCAGUGAAUCAUCGAAUCUUUGAACGCACCUUGCGCUCCUUGGUCUUCUGAGGAGCAUGCCUGUUUGAGUGUCAUUAAAUUCUCAACCUAACCAGCUUUUGUUUGGCUAAGGCUUGGAUGUGGGGGGUUUGCGGGCUUCACAGAAGUCGGCUCUCCUUAAAUGCAUUAGUUGGAACCUUUUUGUUGACCUUGUUCCUGGUGUGAUAAUUAUCUACACUGCGGGCAGUCAGCGAUUUCUAAUGGGGUUUUUGCUUCUAACCAACCGAUCCUUAACGGGACGAUUUUAUUUUGACCAUUUGACCUCAAAUCAGGUAGGAUUACCCGCUGAACUUAAGCAUAUCAAUAAGCGGAGGAAAAGAAACUAACAAGGAUUCCCCUAGUAACUGCGAGUGAAGCGGGAAAAGCUCAAAUUUAAAAUCUGGUAGUCUUUCGGCUGCCCGAGUUGUAAUCUAGAGAAGCAUUAUCCGCGCUGGCCCGUGUACAAGUGUCCUGGAAUGGACCAUCAUAGAGGGUGAGAAUCCCGUCUUUGACACGGACUCCCAGGGCUUUGUGAUGUGCUCUCAAAGAGUCGAGUUGUUUGGGAAUGCAGCUCUAAAUGGGUGGUAAAUUCCAUCUAAAGCUAAAUAUUGGCGAGAGACCGAUAGCGAACAAGUACCGUGAGGGAAAGAUGAAAAGAACUUUGGAAAGAGAGUUAAACAGUACGUGAAAUUGCUGAAAGGGAAACGCUUGAAGUCAGUCGCGUUGGCUGGGGAUCAAUCUUGCAUCUUUUUGCUUGGCUUACUUCCCAGUUGACGGGUCAGCAUCAGUUUUGACCAGUGGAUAAAGG